CCUACGGGCGGCAGCAGUGGGGAAUAUUGGACAAUGGGCGAAAGCCUGAUCCAGCCAUGCCGCGUGUGUGAAGAAGGCCUUCGGGUUGUAAAGCACUUUCAGUGGGGAAGAAAGCCUUGGGGCUAAUACCCUCGAGGAAGGACAUCACCCACAGAAGAAGCACCGGCUAACUCCGUGCCAGCAGCCGCGGUAAUACGGAGGGUGCGAGCGUUAAUCGGAAUUACUGGGCGUAAAGCGCGCGUAGGCGGUCUGAUAAGCCGGUUGUGAAAGCCCCGGGCUCAACCUGGGAACGGCAUCCGGAACUGUCAGGUUAGAGUGCAGGAGAGGAAGGUAGAAUUCCCGGUGUAGCGGUGAAAUGCGUAGAGAUCGGGAGGAAUACCAGUGGCGAAGGCGGCCUUCUGGACUGACACUGACGCUGAGGUGCGAAAGCGUGGGUAGCAAACAGGAUUAGAUACCCUAGUAGUC
RNAcentral lists this ribosomal RNA (465 nucleotides) under Vreelandella stevensii. Its description in RNAcentral is "partial 16S ribosomal RNA". It matches the Rfam family "Bacterial small subunit ribosomal RNA", at positions 338 to 795 of the family's 1533-position model. The record is from RNAcentral. Lineage: Bacteria; Pseudomonadati; Pseudomonadota; Gammaproteobacteria; Oceanospirillales; Halomonadaceae.